AGAGUUUGAUCAUGGCUCAGAUUGAACGCUGGCGGUAGGCUUAACACAUGCAAGUCGAGCGGUAACAGAGGUAGCUUGCUAUCUGCUGACGAGCGGCGGACGGGUGAGUAACGCGUAGGAAACUGCCUGGUAGUGGGGGAUAGCCCAGAGAAAUUUGGAUUAAUACCGCAUACGCCCUACGGGGGAAAAGGGGCUUCGGCUCUUGCUAUCAGAUGUGCCUGCGUAAGAUUAGCUUGUUGGUGAGGUAAUGGCUCACCAAGGCGACGAUCUUUAGCUGGUCUGAGAGGAUGAUCAGCCACACUGGAACUGAGACACGGUCCAGACUCCUACGGGAGGCAGCAGUGGGGAAUAUUGCACAAUGGGCGAAAGCCUGAUGCAGCCAUACCGCGUGUGUGAAGAAGGCUUUCGGGUUGUAAAGCACUUUCAGUAGGGAGGAAGGCGUUGUAGUUAAUACCUGCAACGAUUGACGUUACCUACAGAAGAAGCACCGGCUAACUCCGUGCCAGCAGCCGCGGUAAUACGGAGGGUGCAAGUGUUAAUCGGAAUUACUGGGCGUAAAGCGCGCGUAGGCGGCUUGUUAAGCCAGAUGUGAAAGCCCCGGGCUCAACCUG
This 611-nucleotide ribosomal RNA is filed under the name uncultured bacterium. RNAcentral describes it as "bacterial SSU rRNA". It matches the Rfam family "Bacterial small subunit ribosomal RNA", at positions 8 to 616 of the family's 1533-position model. The record is from RNAcentral.